Molecule: transfer RNA, 124 nt
Filed under: Actinomycetota bacterium
Lineage: Bacteria; Bacillati; Actinomycetota
Description: tRNA-Ser
Source: RNAcentral
GGCGGUAUUAAACGAUACUCUAUGGACAGAAAUCCGCUUACCUAUAGCGGUUUACCACAUACCUAAAGGCCUCGGCAUAUGACUGAAAAUCAUGGUGUCCCCGGUUCGAAUCCGGGUCCCGCCA